Non-coding RNA from Callorhinus ursinus (northern fur seal), 525 nucleotides. NCBI's taxonomy places the organism in Eukaryota, Metazoa, Chordata, Mammalia, Carnivora, Otariidae. The record is from RefSeq and is a predicted model, not a curated record.
UCAUUCAUUCACAUGUCUCAUUUCUGCUCCUCCCUCCCCAACAAAAAUAGCAGCCGGUAUGUGAGUUUCUGUGCAACUGUGUUUAUGAGUAUCUGUGUGCGUGUUCUCACACACACGGAAAAGGUCCAAGGUAUGCCCACCAAACAGCUAACAAUGGAUUCUCCUUGAGGGUGGGAGACUUUCACUCUUUUACUUACAUAUUUUGGUAUUGCUACAUGUUUUACAACAAGCAUGUAUUACUUUUGCAGUUAAAAAAUCAUGAGCAAGAAAUAAUAGUAGCUGCCAUUUACAGAGUAUGGACUAGAAGCGAGGCAGUGUGCUGGCUUUCCACACACCAUCUCAUUUCAUCCUCCCCAUGGCUCAUGGCAUGGGCUAUCUUUAUAUCCCAGAUAGGGAAACUGAGACUUAAAGAGAACAUACAGCUCCGUAAGGGGCAGAGUCAGGAUCUCAACCUAGGACUGUCCGACAUGAAAGCCAUAUUGAGAUCAGCCCUACAAGGCCACUCCUUUUUGCCUGCACUCAAUA